RNAcentral lists this ribosomal RNA (452 nucleotides) under uncultured bacterium. RNAcentral's name for it is "bacterial SSU rRNA". It matches the Rfam family "Bacterial small subunit ribosomal RNA", at positions 75 to 529 of the family's 1533-position model. The record is from RNAcentral.
UGUAGCAUACAGGUGGCGCACGGCGCACGGGUGCGUAACACGUGGGCAAUCUGCCCUCGGAUGGGGGAUAACUCGUCGAAAGGCGAGCUAAUACCGCAUGACAUUCCGAAGACUCCGGUCCUUGGACUCAAAGGCCGCAAGGCCGUCUGAGGAGGAGCCCGCGCCCGAUUAGCUAGUUGGUGAGGUAACGGCUCACCAAGGCUUUGAUCGGUAGCCGGUCUGAGAGGAUGGCCGGCCACACUGGAACUGGGACACGGUCCAGACUCCUACGGGAGGCAGCAGUGGGGAAUAUUGCGCAAUGGGCGAAAGCCUGACGCAGCGACGCCGCGUGGGGGAUGAAGCUUCUCGGAGUGUAAACCCCUUUCGACCCGGACGAAUGACCCGCAAGGGUUUGACGGUACGGGUAUAAGAAGCCCCGGCUAACUACGUGCCAGCAGCCGCGGUAAUACGUA